CAUAAACCCAAUUCAGACUGCCUAUUGAGAAGCAGCUAGGAGUUGAACAGACCGAGGUCCCUGUUAAAGCCUUUCCUCAUACCAGAGCUGUGAAAUCAUGCUUGUUGCCUUCCUCAAUUCCGUUUCAAGUUGUACUGUAUCCUUUUGGAGACUGGGUGACCUGACCUGCAUACACUAUCCCACAUAUUGAUGUAUUGCGGCACAAUCUCAGACCAGCAGGUCUCUCAGGAGGCUGCACAGAAUGAGGGAAAAUGAGAGAAUUUCUCUCAGCAAGAAUUGUAGCCACAGUGCAGAGGCAACCUCAUCCCCAGCUGAGAAGCCCUGGGUGUGAUGGUGGUGCUGAUGCCUUGAGGGAUCUCUCAUUGUUUCACCUGUGCUUUAUUUCAUCUUCCACAGUCCAAAUGCAAGAGGUCAGGAGCUGCAUGUAUUUCACCUUUUUAUUCUUAAUCAAAGUAAGUCCAUACCAGAUCCUACGUGGCUACAGAGAAAAAAAGAAAAGGGGGACAGCUUUAUUUUAAAAGUAAACACCCUCCCCCGCAAUAAUUUAGUGAUGAUGUUUUCAUACAUAACAUCUUGAGCAUAUUCAUUUUUAUAAAAUCUGGGGCCUAGGGUGUGAUAAAAAAAUAAUAAUUUAUUUUUUAUGCCUUUUUAUGCCUGCAAUCCCAAGACACUCCCUCCUCUGCAGUGAUAUAUUCCCAAUAUCCUCAUUAGCAAGCUCUGGGAGAGAGAAAGUAAAAAGCCUCAGGAGUCACAAGGGGGAGAAGACAGGAGAGUGCAGAAGAGGCUCCAGUUGAGCAGCUAAGAAUAGCAGCAGUGCAGCUCAGGCUAAAAAUAUCUCCGUUCCUGAUGACGGAAUCCAGACGCAGAAUAAAGUCCCGUUCACGCUGCCCAGCUCUGACCCAAGCACAUGCAGCGAGAAUAUAAGCAAAGAACUGACGAUUAAACAGGGUUAUAAAACAGUGAGUCAUGGCAUCAGAAAGCAACAGCAUUCCAGUUCCCACAACGAAGAGACCCAGCUCGCUGGGCUCACCCGCAAAAUAACCAAACAACCCGGUGCUUUUUAUAUCCGGCAGAUCUAAUAGCGCUGGAACGUCAAGCACGCCUUUGCCAGGGAUUAAUCUCUGCUUUCCAAGCUCCUUUCAGCUCUGCAUGUCAGCUGUGAGCUCCUGAACUCACGGCAGGCUUCCUGCUAUGCCUGGAGUGGGGAGCAAAACUGUGGAGCUGGCAGCGGUGCUGGCUGCCUGCCUGGGUGCCCUGCGGUCCCAACCGGGACCCGAGUCUGAGGGCAGAAAGGCCAGGGGAAAUUUCUGCUCCCAGAAAUGUUUCUGCUGACUUCAGCUUUCCUGUGCUGGCGUUAUUAUUUCCCGCUCUGCUCUGUGCAUGAUGAAUAGGGCCAGGAGCGAUUGUGGCGGGUCCUAAUUGCAGGGUGCACAUCAUGAUAGACAAUGAUAGAAGAGGAGGGCAGUGAGUGAAUUUAGCCUUGUUAAAAUACCCUUGGAAAUAUGUGUAAGUGAAUCACAGAUGAUUCAGCUGUGUAAGACACCUGAAUCCACUCAAGAGGACCUUCUGCCUGAGCACAAUGCCCUGGCAAGGAAAAACACCACCACUGUAGCAGAGCAUUG
This is a long non-coding RNA of Oxyura jamaicensis (ruddy duck), 1622 nucleotides long. RefSeq lists it as uncharacterized. The transcript has 3 exons. The record is from RefSeq and is a predicted model, not a curated record. NCBI's taxonomy places the organism in Eukaryota, Metazoa, Chordata, Aves, Anseriformes, Anatidae.